Molecule: ribosomal RNA, 253 nt
Filed under: uncultured bacterium
Lineage: Bacteria
Description: partial 16S ribosomal RNA
Rfam family: Bacterial small subunit ribosomal RNA
Source: RNAcentral
UACAGAGGGUGCAAGCGUUGUCCGGAAUCACUGGGCGUAAAGGGCGCGUAGGUGGCCUGAUAAGUAGGAGGUGAAAUCCUGGGGCUUAACCUCAGGGCUACCUUCUAGACUGUCCGGCUCGAGCACAGUAGAGGCAGGUGGAAUUCCCGGUGUAGCGGUGGAAUGCGUAGAGAUCGGGAAGAACAUCGGUGGCGAAGGCAGCCUGCUGGGCUGUUGCUGACACUGAGGCGCGACAGCGUGGGGAGCAAACAGG